UACGUAGGGUGCAAGCGUUAAUCGGAAUUACUGGGCGUAAAGCGUGCGCAGGCGGUUUUGUAAGUCUGUCGUGAAAGCCCCCGGGCUUAACCUGGGAAUUGCGAUGGAGACUGCAAGGCUUGAAUCUGGCAGAGGGGGGUAGAAUUCCACGUGUAGCAGUGAAUGCGUAGAGAUGUGGAGGAACACCGAUGGCGAAGGCAGCCCCCUGGGUCAAGAUUGACGCUCAUGCACGAAAGCGUGGGGGAGCAAACAGG
RNAcentral lists this ribosomal RNA (254 nucleotides) under uncultured bacterium. RNAcentral describes it as "partial 16S ribosomal RNA". It matches the Rfam family "Bacterial small subunit ribosomal RNA", at positions 524 to 776 of the family's 1533-position model. The record is from RNAcentral.